Molecule: ribosomal RNA, 472 nt
Filed under: uncultured bacterium
Lineage: Bacteria
Description: bacterial SSU rRNA
Rfam family: Bacterial small subunit ribosomal RNA
Source: RNAcentral
CUGGCUCAGAAUGAACGCUGGCGGCAUGGAUUAGGCAUGCAAGUCGAACGGGGUCCUUCGGGACCUAGUGGCGAAAGGGUGAGUAACACGUGAGCAAUCUGCCCCCAAGGCCGGAAUAAGCACUGGAAACGGUGUCUAAAACCGGAUGAGGCCUGGAGUCGCAUGACUCCUCAGCCAAAUAUUGAUACCCUGGGGAUGAGCUCGCGGCCCAUUAGCUAGUUGGCGGGGUAACGGCCCACCAAGGCUGCGACGGGUAGGUGGUCUGAGAGGAUGGUCACCCACACUGGGACUGAGACACUGCCCAGACUCCUACGGGAGGCUGCAGUCGAGAAUCUUCCGCAAUGGGCGCAAAGCCUGACGGAGCGAUGCCGCGUGAGGGACGAAGGCCUUCGGGUCGUAAACCUCUGUCACCGGGACGAAAGCUGACGGUACCCGGAAAGGAAGCCACGGCUAACCACGUGCCAGCAGCCGC